CCCUUAGAUGUUCUGGGCCGCACGCGCGCUACACUGAUGCAUUCAACGAGCCUAGCCUUGACCGAGAGGUCCGGGUAAUCUUUGAAACUGCAUCGUGAUGGGGCUAGAUUAUUGCAAUUAUUAAUCUUCAACGAGGAAUGCCUAGUAAGCGUGAUUCAUCAAAUCGCGUUGAUUACGUCCCUGCCCUUUGUACACACCGCCCGUCGCUCCUACCGAUUGAGUGUGUUGGUGAGGAGUUUGGAUUGGCCUCGGAAGGUGGUUCGCCACCGUCCGUAGCUGAGAAGUUCUCCAAACCGCCCCACUUAGAGGAAGGUGAAGUCGUAACA
This 326-nucleotide ribosomal RNA is filed under the name uncultured eukaryote. Its description in RNAcentral is "partial 18S ribosomal RNA". It matches the Rfam family "Eukaryotic small subunit ribosomal RNA", at positions 1470 to 1796 of the family's 1831-position model. The record is from RNAcentral.